Molecule: ribosomal RNA, 460 nt
Filed under: uncultured bacterium
Lineage: Bacteria
Description: partial 16S ribosomal RNA
Rfam family: Bacterial small subunit ribosomal RNA
Source: RNAcentral
CCUACGGGAGGCUGCAGUGAGGAAUAUUGGUCAAUGGGCGCGAGCCUGAACCAGCCAAGUAGCGUGAAGGAUGACUGCCCUACGGGUUGUAAACUUCUUUUAUAAAGGAAUAAAGUGAGGCACGAGUGCAGUUUUGAAUGUACUUUAUGAAUAAGGAUCGGCUAACUCCGUGCCAGCAGCCGCGGUAAUACGGAGGAUCCGAGCGUUAUCAGGUUUUAUUGGGUUUAAAGGGAGCGUAGAUGGGUUUUUAAGUCAGUUGUGAAAGUUUGCGGCUCAACCGAAGAAUUGCAGUUGAUACUGGCAGUCUUGAGUACAGUUGAGGUAGGCGGAAUUCGUGGUGUAGCGGUGAAAUGCUUAGAUAUCACGAAGAACUCCGAUUGCGAAGGCAGCUUACUAGACUGCCACUGACGUUGAUGCUCGAAAGUGUGGGUAUCAAACAGGAUUAGAUACCCUAGUAGUC